This is a small nucleolar RNA of Lemur catta (Ring-tailed lemur), 100 nucleotides long. RefSeq annotates it as small nucleolar RNA U13. The transcript has a single exon. Lineage: Eukaryota; Metazoa; Chordata; Mammalia; Primates; Lemuridae. The record is from RefSeq and is a predicted model, not a curated record.
AUCCUUUUGCAGUAAGCGUGAUGACUGGGUUUUCACUCUCGUGUGUGAGAUGUGCUUCCCUCAAACUUUGUCAUCACACUGGCACCUUACCUGUCUGAUG